UAACACGUAAACAACCUGCCUUCAAGAUGGGGACAACAGACGGAAACGACUGCUAAUACCGAAUACGAUCCGAAAGUCGCAUGACAUUUGGAUGAAAGGGAGGCCUAUCGAAGAAGCUAUCGCUUGAAGAGGGGUUUGCGUCCGAUUAGGUAGUUGGUGAGGUAACGGCCCACCAAGCCGACGAUCGGUAGCCGGUCUGAGAGGAUGAACGGCCACACUGGAACUGAGACACGGUCCAGACUCCUACGGGAGGCAGCAGCU
RNAcentral lists this ribosomal RNA (261 nucleotides) under uncultured Dialister sp. RNAcentral describes it as "partial 16S ribosomal RNA". It matches the Rfam family "Bacterial small subunit ribosomal RNA", at positions 111 to 355 of the family's 1533-position model. Lineage: Bacteria; Bacillati; Bacillota; Negativicutes; Veillonellales; Veillonellaceae. The record is from RNAcentral.